AAGGCCCAACAGCCCACUUCCUCCCUCCCUCACGCUCUCCUCCUGGCUGACCGACCUCUCCCUCUUGUUCUUCCUCUGGUGCUCCUCCAGCCACGGCUUCAUGCCCUUGCAUCCACCCUCUGCAGCACAUGCCCUUGCAUCCACCCUCUGCUGCACCAAAUCCAUAGGGGAAAACCAGCAAAAUGGAAUGAGGGCGGCAUGAGGAAGAAGGAGACGUGCGCAUUCGAUGUAGAUCGGUUCCCCCUCCCUAGGGUUUCAAGGAUGACAAAGGUUAUCCUUUGAAGCUAGCAUGAAGGAAAGUGGUUUAGUUGCACGCCAUACACUUCUACAGGAUUUGAUAAUGAUUUGGUGCAUAAUUCUAAAUUUGUUAGAUCUUAUAAUAACUUAAAUCAUAUUUGUACAUGAUGUAAGGUUGUCUUGUUGGAGCAUCACGCUUUCUAUAUACAUCUAUCUAUUGUUGCUUCCGCGUCGUGUUUGUUUAUAGGUUUUUGCUGCUGAAAUUUUAA
Long non-coding RNA from Panicum virgatum (switchgrass), 506 nucleotides. RefSeq lists it as uncharacterized. The record is from RefSeq and is a predicted model, not a curated record. Lineage: Eukaryota; Viridiplantae; Streptophyta; Magnoliopsida; Poales; Poaceae. The transcript has 2 exons.